GACGAACGCUGGCGGCGUGCUUAACACAUGCAAGUCGUACGGUAAGGCCCUUUCGGGGGUACACGAGUGGCGAACGGGUGAGUAACACGUGAGUAACCUGCUCACAACUUUGGGAUAACGCUAGGAAACUGGUGCUAAUACUGGAUAUGUGCUCCUGCUGCAUGGUGGGGGUUGGAAAGCUCCGGCGGUUGUGGAUGGACUCGCGGCCUAUCAGCUUGUUGGUGGGGUAGUGGCCUACCAAGGCGGCGACGGGUAGCCGGCCUGAGAGGGUGACCGGCCACAUUGGGACUGAGAUACGGCCCAGACUCCUACGGGAGGCAGCAGUGGGGAAUAUUGCACAAUGGGCGUAAGCCUGAUGCAGCAACGCCGCGUGCGGGAUGACGGCCUUCGGGUUGUAAACCGCUUUCAGCAGGGACGAAGCUUUUUGUGACGGUACCUGCAGAAGAAGCACCGGCUAACUACGUG
This 465-nucleotide ribosomal RNA is filed under the name uncultured bacterium. RNAcentral describes it as "partial 16S ribosomal RNA". It matches the Rfam family "Bacterial small subunit ribosomal RNA", at positions 28 to 507 of the family's 1533-position model. The record is from RNAcentral.